Molecule: ribosomal RNA, 2714 nt
Filed under: Salmonella enterica subsp. enterica serovar Typhimurium
Lineage: Bacteria; Pseudomonadati; Pseudomonadota; Gammaproteobacteria; Enterobacterales; Enterobacteriaceae
Description: partial 23S ribosomal RNA
Rfam family: Bacterial large subunit ribosomal RNA
Source: RNAcentral
GCAGAAAGAGGCGAUGAAGGGCGUGCUAAUCUGCGAUAAGCGCCGGUAAGGUGAUAUGAACCGUUAUAACCGGCGAUACCCGAAUGGGGAAACCCAGUGUGAUUCGUCACACUAUCAUUAACUGAAUCCAUAGGUUAAUGAGGCGAACCGGGGGAACUGAAACAUCUAAGUACCCCGAGGAAAAGAAAUCAACCGAGAUUCCCCCAGUAGCGGCGAGCGAACGGGGAGGAGCCCAGAGCCUGAAUCAGCAUGUGUGUUAGUGGAAGCGUCUGGAAAGGCGCGCGAUACAGGGUGACAGCCCCGUACACAAAAGCGCAUGUGCUGUGAGCUCGAUGAGUAGGGCGGGACACGUGGUAUCCUGUCUGAAUAUGGGGGGACCAUCCUCCAAGGCUAAAUACUCCUGACUGACCGAUAGUGAACCAGUACCGUGAGGGAAAGGCGAAAAGAACCCCGGCGAGGGGAGUGAAAAAGAACCUGAAACCGUGUACGUACAAGCAGUGGGAGCNNNNGGGCGUUAAGUUGCAGGGUAUAGACCCGAAACCCGGUGAUCUAGCCAUGGGCAGGUUGAAGGUUGGGUAACACUAACUGGAGGACCGAACCGACUAAUGUUGAAAAAUUAGCGGAUGACCUGUGGCUGGGGGUGAAAGGCCAAUCAAACCGGGAGAUAGCUGGUUCUCCCCGAAAGCUAUUUAGGUAGCGCCUCGUGAAUUCAUCUCCGGGGGUAGAGCACUGUUUCGGCUAGGGGGCCAUCCCGGCUUACCAACCCGAUGCAAACUGCGAAUACCGGAGAAUGUUAUCACGGGAGACACACGGCGGGUGCUAACGUCCGUCGUGAAGAGGGAAACAACCCAGACCGCCAGCUAAGGUCCCAAAGUCAUGGUUAAGUGGGAAACGAUGUGGGAAGGCCCAGACAGCCAGGAUGUUGGCUUAGAAGCAGCCAUCAUUUAAAGAAAGCGUAAUAGCUCACUGGUCGAGUCGGCCUGCGCGGAAGAUGUAACGGGGCUAAACCAUGCACCGAAGCUGCGGCAGCGANNUGCUGGAGGUAUCAGAAGUGCGAAUGCUGACAUAAGUAACGAUAAAGCGGGUGAAAAGCCCGCUCGCCGGAAGACCAAGGGUUCCUGUCCAACGUUAAUCGGGGCAGGGUGAGUCGACCCCUAAGGCGAGGCCGAAAGGCGUAGUCGAUGGGAAACGGGUUAAUAUUCCCGUACUUGGUGUUACUGCGAAGGGGGGACGGAGAAGGCUAUGUUGGCCGGGCGACGGUUGUCCCGGUUUAAGCGUGUAGGUGUGUGUUCCAGGUAAAUCCGGUUCACUUUAACACUGAGGCGUGACGACGAGGCACUACGGUGCUGAAGCAACAAAUGCCCUGCUUCCAGGAAAAGCCUCUAAGCAUCAGGUAACAUCAAAUCGUACCCCAAACCGACACAGGUGGUCAGGUAGAGAAUACCAAGGCGCUUGAGAGAACUCGGGUGAAGGAACUAGGCAAAAUGGUGCCGUAACUUCGGGAGAAGGCACGCUGACACGUAGGUGAAGUGAUUUACUCAUGGAGCUGAAGUCAGUCGAAGAUACCAGCUGGCUGCAACUGUUUAUUAAAAACACAGCACUGUGCAAACACGAAAGUGGACGUAUACGGUGUGACGCCUGCCCGGUGCCGGAAGGUUAAUUGAUGGGGUCAGCGCAAGCGAAGCUCCUGAUCGAAGCCCCGGUAAACGGCGGCCGUAACUAUAACGGUCCUAAGGUAGCGAAAUUCCUUGUCGGGUAAGUUCCGACCUGCACGAAUGGCGUAAUGAUGGCCAGGCUGUCUCCACCCGAGACUCAGUGAAAUUGAACUCGCUGUGAAGAUGCAGUGUACCCGCGGCAAGACGGAAAGACCCCGUGAACCUUUACUAUAGCUUGACACUGAACAUUGAGCCUUGAUGUGUAGGAUAGGUGGGAGGCUUUGAAGUGUGGACGCCAGUCUGCAUGGAGCCGACCUUGAAAUACCACCCUUUAAUGUUUGAUGUUCUAACGUGGACCCGUAAUCCGGGUUGCGGACAGUGUCUGGUGGGUAGUUUGACUGGGGCGGUCUCCUCCUAAAGAGUAACGGAGGAGCACGAAGGUUGGCUAAUCCUGGUCGGACAUCAGGAGGUUAGUGCAAUGGCAUAAGCCAGCUUGACUGCGAGCGUGACGGCGCGAGCAGGUGCGAAAGCAGGUCAUAGUGAUCCGGUGGUUCUGAAUGGAAGGGCCAUCGCUCAACGGAUAAAAGGUACUCCGGGGAUAACAGGCUGAUACCGCCCAAGAGUUCAUAUCGACGGCGGUGUUUGGCACCUCGAUGUCGGCUCAUCACAUCCUGGGGCUGAAGUAGGUCCCAAGGGUAUGGCUGUUCGCCAUUUAAAGUGGUACGCGAGCUGGGUUUAGAACGUCGUGAGACAGUUCGGUCCCUAUCUGCCGUGGGCGCUGGAGAACUGAGGGGGGCUGCUCCUAGUACGAGAGGACCGGAGUGGACGCAUCACUGGUGUUCGGGUUGUCAUGCCAAUGGCACUGCCCGGUAGCUAAAUGCGGAAGAGAUAAGUGCUGAAAGCAUCUAAGCACGAAACUUGCCCCGAGAUGAGUUCUCCCUGAGACUUAGAGUCUCCUGAAGGAACGUUGAAGACGACGACGUUGAUAGGCCGGGUGUGUAAGCGCAGCGAUGCGUUGAGCUAACCGGUACUAAUGAACCGUGAGGCUUAACCUUACAA